CCUGGCCGAUCCCCUCCGUCGUCGUCGCGUGAACUCCUCGCCGAUCCCCUCCGUCGUCGUCGCGUGAACUCCUCGCCGAUCCCCCGCCUCCGUCGCGCCGUCACGCCGCCGAUUCCCCCCUCCUCGUCUGGCGCGCCGCGGGGUUCAGUCGGCGCCGAUCCCCAUCCCCCAGGUGGCCGUCGCCGAUCCUGCAUCUCCUCUGUCCGAUCCUGCAUCUCCUCUGUCCCGUCCUCGCCGAUCCCCCGCCUCCGUCGCGCCGUCACGCCGCCGAUUCUCGCCUCUCCAAGACCGCUUUCAUUUUUGCAUCUUCCCCAGAUCACUGCUGGUCAACAGAGGCAGUGGAGGCUGAGGAGGUCGCCAUCCACAACCGACAACGACAACGCGACGCCGCUGCCGCCUCAAGAGCCACCGCUGCCUAUCCGUACUCACGCCACCGUUCCUCCUGUGCUGAAAGGUACUUUCAGCGAACAAGAAUCUUACUCCAUUAUAAGGAAUCAAACCAAUCGUGAAGGUAGCUGGUACUUUGAGAACUGUCAGAUAUGCAAAUCUGGCUAAAUAGUCAUCCAUGUGAAAUGCCUUAAUGAACUCUGUAUUUAUAUAGAUGAGAUAGCUCAUUUAGAGAGUACAUACAUGAUGUGGGUUCUUCGAUCCAAUAAACUCUGUAGUGUUGAUCCAUUUAUAUAUAAUUCUCCCUGUUGUGCUGAUCCAUUUAUAU
This 715-nucleotide long non-coding RNA is filed under the name Oryza sativa Indica Group (long-grained rice). Its description in RNAcentral is "lncRNA OsKYG_12g0010970". Lineage: Eukaryota; Viridiplantae; Streptophyta; Magnoliopsida; Poales; Poaceae. The record is from RNAcentral.